GGGGAUGUAGCUCAGCUGGGAGAGCACCGCCUUUGCACGGCGGGGGUCGUGGGUUCGAGUCCCAUCAUCUCCACCA
This 76-nucleotide transfer RNA is filed under the name Actinomycetes bacterium. Its description in RNAcentral is "tRNA-Ala". It matches the Rfam family "tRNA". Rfam says of the family: Transfer RNA (tRNA) molecules are approximately 80 nucleotides in length. Lineage: Bacteria; Bacillati; Actinomycetota; Actinomycetes. The record is from RNAcentral.